CCAAAGAAAGUGUUCCCAGAUCAUGGUAAAAUCAGGAAACUUCCACCAGGUGCAGUGAAAGUCAAUUUUCAAAAGAAGUUAGUUGAAAAGCUGAAGAUGAUAACUGUCAAGUACAAACAUGUAAAAGAAAAGGCACUGAAAAUGAAGGAAAAGCUUAAGGAGAACCUACAAGAGAAAAAAGAAAUUUGGUCUUUACCAACAAAAAC
Saccostrea echinata is the source of this 206-nucleotide long non-coding RNA. RefSeq lists it as uncharacterized. The record is from RefSeq and is a predicted model, not a curated record. The transcript is spliced from 3 exons. Lineage: Eukaryota; Metazoa; Mollusca; Bivalvia; Ostreida; Ostreidae.